CGCAUGCGCGUCUACACAUGCAGUCGAACGAUGAAGCCUUUCGGGGUGGAUUAGUGGCGAACGGGUGAGUAACACGUGGGCAAUCUGCCCUUCACUCUGGGACAAGCCCUGGAAACGGGGUCUAAUACCGGAUAACACUCUGUCCCGCAUGGGACGGGGUUAAAAGCUCCGGCGGUGAAGGAUGAGCCCGCGGCCUAUCAGCUUGUUGGUGGGGUAAUGGCCUACCAAGGCGACGACGGGUAGCCGGCCUGAGAGGGCGACCGGCCACACUGGGACUGAGACACGGCCCAGACUCCAGGUGGAGGCAGCAAACA
RNAcentral lists this ribosomal RNA (314 nucleotides) under Streptomyces sp. BH-8. RNAcentral describes it as "bacterial SSU rRNA". It matches the Rfam family "Bacterial small subunit ribosomal RNA", at positions 55 to 353 of the family's 1533-position model. Lineage: Bacteria; Bacillati; Actinomycetota; Actinomycetes; Kitasatosporales; Streptomycetaceae. The record is from RNAcentral.